CCUUCAUGAAGCUGGAAUUGCUGUAAUGGCAGGUCAGCAUACUGCCGUGAAUACGUUCCCGGGCCUUGUACACACCGCCCGUCACACCAUGAGAGUUGGGAAUACCCGAAGCCUGUGAGCUAACUUAUAGAGGCAGCAGUCGAAGGUAGAAUCAAUGAUUGGGGUGAAGUCGUAACAAGGUAGC
Molecule: ribosomal RNA, 184 nt
Filed under: uncultured bacterium
Lineage: Bacteria
Description: partial 16S ribosomal RNA
Rfam family: Bacterial small subunit ribosomal RNA
Source: RNAcentral